Molecule: long non-coding RNA, 2768 nt
Organism: Bos taurus (domestic cattle)
Lineage: Eukaryota; Metazoa; Chordata; Mammalia; Artiodactyla; Bovidae
Source: Ensembl
GAGAGGCCGCGGGUCCACGAGAAGGAACCACAUGCCCACUGGGGCACGGGCACCAGCUAUGCCCACUGGGGCACGGGCACCAGCUAGGACUCAGCCCUGUCCCAGCGGAUGGCAGCUGAGACGACAGAGAGACGCCCAGGUUUACAACUCAAGUCAUCGUGGGCUUUCUGCUCCUGCCUUCCCACGUGGCCACCGUGCUUAUCCCCAGGCUCCUGCGGGAACAAGAGGCUGCUCUCAGUGGCUUGCUGCUGUCCUCCUUAGAAGAAAGCCUUCCAUCCCAGGGACACAGCGGUGGCAAGCAAAGAGAGAGCCUGGGAGACCUUGGGAAGAGGAUUUUGGUCCCAGAAGCCGGUGGGGGUAGAGGCGCCCCUCCUCGGGCUCACUCAGGCCCUCAUUAUGCUUCCUGGCCCCGAGAAUGACUGGCACACGCUCCCCUGCAGGCUACUCCGGGGCGGGGAGGCAGGAGGCCAAGUCCUGGACGCUUUACCUCGGCCAGUCUGAUUCCAGGACACAUGACUUGUUUGAUUGUUGGACCUACGGACGAGGGCAAGCAGGGGAGGGGGGUCAGAACCAGUCACCCCUCCUCCUCUGACCAGUCAGAUGGGCCCAAGGUCCAGGCUCAGGUGUCCAGUGUGUUCUGUGUAGCGGCUGAACCACGCCCACUCUCAAGGCGUCUUCAUUACUAAAGAGCUCGCCUUUGCUUUCAAAAACUCGACCAAAUUAAAGCUCGGGCCUGAGCGAGUUUGGGGGGGUAGGGAGUGUCCAGCUGACCCCCACCCCCCAGCCAUGGGGAACUUCACAUGGAUUAUGAAGCUUCCCCUCGAAGUCACUGAGAACGGCCUUGUGGGGCCGGGGAGGCUGUGUGUGACGGGUGACGAGCGACAGGCCUUGAGACGGAGAUGAUUGCGACCCGACACCUACAACAGACCAGACACAGAGGAGGAACCGGAAGUCCAGGGGCGCCCAACCGGAAGGGGCGGGGCCGCCGCCUGGAGACUUGGGAAGGCCUGUGGGUGCGCUUGGCCUAGGCUGGCGUGCGGGGCUCCAGGCAGUGACCUGUCCCAGCCGGCCUGCUCGUGGAUGAGACCUCCAGGACCCAGCUUGCAGGCCCCAGGAGCCCGCUGUCCGCGUGGGAAAGUCCUCGACCAGAUGACCUAAUGACGGAUUCUGCAGAAGUGAAACCGUCCUUCGGUGGGAGGCGACAAGGGCCCUGGGACAGAGCCCACACAGGAGCCCUCCGCGUCCAGCCGCCGCUGUCUGAGCGAUGCUGGAGGAGCCUCUGGGCCUCCCUGAGCCCCACGUGCCCGGCUCAGCUGCAGGCAAAAAAUAUUAGAGCUGAUCCCAAGUUGCUUCAAAUGUGAAACAAGCCAAGUCAGAAAAAGAGCAGUUGGGCGAGAGAGACGUCGCUGGUUCAGACCAGGAAGAAGUUUACGGUCGACAGGCAGCUUGCCAGAACUCCCAACCGCGUCACAGCGUCAUGAAACGGCCACAUCGACGCAAUUCGGCUCGGUGCGGGCUUGGCCGUCAGCAAUAGGCAGGACGAUCCCUGAUCUCGAAGGACAAAGUCUGCGAGUAAGCAUCAGAGAACAAAAGUGCUCGUCUAGAUUUGCGAUCAAGAUGUUUUGGCUGCAGUUACAAAGGUUGCAGCACGGUGGAGCUUCGGGUUAGUGCAGUUCACAAGGUGCUUUCCUGUCCCCCCAGAAGUCAUGAGGGAAAAGUUUCACUUCCCACCCAGCAGAGAGGGCGGCUGCCCCUCCUGUUCUGCUCAGGAUACAGCAAUUGGGUGCCUUUUCAACAGGCAGGCUUGCAAAAAGAGCAGAAGCUUUGUUAUCUGCAGACAGACACAGCUUCAUUUUCACCUUUUCGCACUGAAAUCAUUUCAGAUCCCGGGAAUGUUGUGCAGACAGCUCAGAGGACCCCGAGCCCCCCACGGCUUCCCCAGACCCGCAUGUCUGGAAACCAGGGGAGGAGGGUUGGUAACGCCGCUAAAGGAACUGCAGGUCCGUCUGGGUUCCAGGUGUCCUUCCAGGUGUGCUGGGGGCUCCCCUGCCUGUCUUCCAUGGGCAGUGAGUGAGGAGACACACACAGCCCACGGCAGGGUCUGCGGGGAGCGGGACUGGGCCAAAGACUUGCCUCGCUGGGAGGAGGAGCAUUUUGAUCUACUCCCAUCAUGUGAGCGACCACAGACCCCAGAGGAUGGGACCCCUAGGGUGAAGGGGGAUCACGCACAGCCUUGGCCGCUCAGUCAGUGGAGGACUGACUCUGAAAGGAGGCUUAAAAUGUCCUCACAAAAAGAAAAGGAAAAGAGGGACUUCCCUGCUGGUCCCGUGGUUUGGAAUCCACCUUGCAAACCUUGCAGUGCAGGGGACGCAGGUUCUAUCCCUGGUCAGAGAACUGAGGUGCCCUGUGCUGCAGAGCAACUAAGGCCCAGAGCCGCAACCACCGAGCCCCCGCGCUCUGGAGCCGGCACGCCCCUGCAGGGUCCAUGCGUCACAAGUACUGAGUCCACGCGCUCCGGAGCCGGCGCGCCCCUGCAGGGUCCGUGCACCACAACCACCCAGCCGGCGCGCCCCUGCAGGGUCCGUGCGUCACAAGUACUGAGUCCACGCGCUCCGGAGCCGGCGCGCCCCUAGAGGGUCCGUGCGUCACAACCGAAGACCCUGCAGGACACAAGGAAGACGUUGUGUGCAGGAACUAAGACCCGACGGUCAAAUAAAUAAUUGAAAAGAAAUACCUCACGUCUUUUUUAAAGGCUUAUAAUUAUAGAU